Molecule: small RNA, 77 nt
Filed under: Siansivirga zeaxanthinifaciens CC-SAMT-1
Lineage: Bacteria; Pseudomonadati; Bacteroidota; Flavobacteriia; Flavobacteriales; Flavobacteriaceae
Description: Flavo-1 RNA
Rfam family: Flavo-1 RNA
Source: Rfam by way of RNAcentral
UAUUUGCAUUAGCGGUUGCAGCGGCAUCCUUUUUUUGAGGUACGAGAAAAAAGAUAUAGCGAAAAACGCGACCCGAU